GGAAGAGGAUAGUGUUUAUUAGAUACAGAACCAAUACACCAGUGUCACAGCUGGUGUGAAAAAGGUGAUUCAUAGUAACCGAACGGAUCGCAUUAUGGUCAUUCUUUUGUAAUGGCUGGCGAUAGAUCAUUCAAGUUUCUGACCUAUCAGCUUUCGACGGUAGUGUAUUGGACUACCGUGGCAGUGACGGGUAACGGGGAAUUAGGGUUCGAUUCCGGAGAGGGAGCCUGAGAAACGGCUACCACAUCUAAGGAAGGCAGCAGGCGCGCAAAUUACCCAAUCCUGACUCAGGGAGGUAGUGACAAGAAAUAACAACACUGGAAAUUUUAUUUCUAGUGAUUGGAAUGAUGGGAAUUUAAACCCCUUUCAGAGUAACAAUUGGAGGGCAAGUCUGGUGCCAGCAGCCGCGGUAAUUCCAGCUCCAAUAGCGUAUAUUAAAGUUGUUGCAGUUAAAAAGCUCGUAGUUGGAUGUCUGCUGGAAGCAAUCAGUCCGCCCUAUUUGUAGGGUGUGCACUUGAUGAAUUCUGGCAUUUUUGUCCCAAUGAUGUAACGGGGCGGUGGUACUCGGUGAAAGCCGAGUAUCCUGUUUUCCGAUUAUUGGGAUACUGUUACUUUGAGAAAAUUAGAGUGUUUGAAGCAGGCUAAUUGCCUUGAAUACUGCAGCAUGGAAUAACAAUAUAGGAUUUCGGUUCUAUUUUGUUGGUUUCUAGGACUGAAAUAAUGAUUAAUAGGGACAGUUGGGGGCAUUCGUAUUUAACUGUCAGAGGUGAAAUUCUUAGAUUUGUUAAAGACGAACUACUGCGAAAGCAUUUGCCAAAGAUGUUUUCAUUAAUCAAGAACGAAAGUUAGGGGCUCGAA
This 858-nucleotide ribosomal RNA is filed under the name Sarcocystis tenella. RNAcentral describes it as "SSU rRNA". It matches the Rfam family "Eukaryotic small subunit ribosomal RNA", at positions 192 to 1002 of the family's 1831-position model. Lineage: Eukaryota; Apicomplexa; Conoidasida; Eucoccidiorida; Sarcocystidae. The record is from RNAcentral.